RNAcentral lists this ribosomal RNA (254 nucleotides) under uncultured bacterium. RNAcentral's name for it is "partial 16S ribosomal RNA". It matches the Rfam family "Bacterial small subunit ribosomal RNA", at positions 524 to 776 of the family's 1533-position model. The record is from RNAcentral.
CACGUAGGGUGCGAGCGUUGUCCGGAAUUAUUGGGCGUAAAGAGCUCGUAGGCGGUGUGUCGCGUCGGCCGUGAAAACCUGCAGCUUAACUGUGGGCUUGCGGUCGAUACGGGCAUCACUGGAGUUCGGCAGGGGAGACUGGAAUUCCUGGUGUAGCGGUGAAAUGCGCAGAUAUCAGGAGGAACACCGGUGGCGAAGGCGGGUCUCUGGGCCGAUACUAACGCUGAGGAGCGAAAGCGUGGGGAGCGAACAGG